CGUCAAGCUUCCAAGAAAAGCCCUAUACCCGUUAAGGCAUGAUGGCCUGUACCCGAAACCGACACAGGUGGGGUGGUAGAGAAUACCGAGGGGCGCGAGGUAACUCUCUCUAAGGAACUCGGCAAAAUGGCCCCGUAACUUCGGGAGAAGGGGUGCCACCGCGAGGUGGUCGCAGUGAAGAGGCCCAGGCGACUGUUUACCAAAAACACAGGUCUCCGCUAAGUCGCAAGACGAUGUAUGGGGGCUGACGCCUGCCCAGUGCCGGAAGGUUAAGGAAGCUGGUCAGCGCAAGCGAAGCUGGCGACUGAAGCCCCGGUGAACGGCGGCCGUAACAAUAACGGUCCUAAGGUAGCGAAAUUCCUUGUCGGGUAAGUUCCGACCCGCACGAUAGGCGUAACGAUCUGGGCGCUGUCUCGGAGAGAGGCUCGGCGAAAUAGAAUUGUCUGUGAAGAUGCGGACUACGUGCACCCGGACAGAAAGACCCUAUGAAGCUUUACUGUAGCUUGGUAUUGUGCUCGGGCUCGGAAUGCGCAGGAUAGGUGGGAGGCUUUGAUCCAUUGCUUGCGGGUGAUGGUGAGCCACUGGUGAGAUACCACUCUUUCCGAGCUAGAGUUCUAACAGCAACCCGUUAUCCGGGUGCUGGACAGUAUCAGGUGGGCAGUUUGACUGGGGCGGUCGCCUCCUAAAAGGUAACGGAGGCGCGCAAAGGUCUGCUCAGGCUGGUUGGAAAUCAGCCGACGAGUGUAAAAGCAGAAGCAGGCUUGACUGUGAGACCUACAAGUCGAACAGGGAGGAAACUCGGCUUUAGUGAUCCGACGGUUCUGCGUGGAAGGGCCGUCGCUCAACGGAUAAAAGUUACUCUAAGGAUAACAGGCUGAUCUCCCCCAAGAGUUCACAUCGACGGGGAGGUUUGGCACCUCGAUGUCGGCUCAUCGCAACCUGGGGCUGAAGUCGGUCCCAAGGGUUGGGCUGUUCGCCCAUUAAAGCGGUACGCGAGCUGGGUUCAGAACGUCGUGAGACAGUUCGGUCCAUAUCCGGUGCACGCGCAGGAAUAUUGAGAGGAUUUCUCCCUAGUACGAGAGGACCGGGAGGAACGCACCUCUGGUGUGCCAGUUAUCGUGCCAACGGUAAACGCUGGGUAGCCAUGUGCGGAGUGGAUAACCGCUGAAAGCAUCUAAGUGGGAAGCCCACCUCAAGAUGAGUAUUCCCAUGGCAUAAGCCAGUAAGGUCACGGGAAGAACACCCGUUGAUAGGCUCUACGUGGAAGCGCAGUAAUGUGUGAAGCGGAGGAGUACUAAUAGACCGAGGGCUUGACC
Molecule: ribosomal RNA, 1316 nt
Filed under: metagenome
Description: bacterial LSU rRNA
Rfam family: Bacterial large subunit ribosomal RNA
Source: RNAcentral